ACAUGUAUGCACUGGUUAAGGAAUGGACUUAUUUCUUUCUUUAAGUUGUCACGGAUCAUUCCAUAAAUUUUCUCAACGCAUGCAGUUAGGUGUUGCUUAAACAAUAGGGCUGGGUAUUUAGCGUCAAUCCUUGUUCGGACUUUUGGGCUUCCCUCAAUUCCGCUGUAUCCACUGGAAAUUUCCAUGCUUAAUGAAGUUGAGCGAAAACCCUGCUGUUGACCCUUGAUAUGUCAAUGUAAACAUGUUCAUACAUGAUUAAAAGCUUAUAUUAUGAAUGUUUACCUGUGCCAUUCUGCCAAACAAUGUUGUAGGUGAGCUGCGAUUACGAUAUGGGGACCUAGUAGGCACAUUACCAGCUUUAAUUGUGGUUUGCAAAAGGAACAGCAGAGUUGAGGCUGGGUAUUUAGCUUCAAUCCUUGUACGGACAUUUGGGCUUCCCUCAAUUCCGCUGUAUCCACUGGAAAUUGCCAUGCUUAAUGAAGUUGAGCGAAAACCCUGCUGU
RNAcentral lists this long non-coding RNA (502 nucleotides) under Nicotiana benthamiana. RNAcentral's name for it is "long non-coding RNA (NBEN_LNC036957)". The record is from RNAcentral. Lineage: Eukaryota; Viridiplantae; Streptophyta; Magnoliopsida; Solanales; Solanaceae.